This 374-nucleotide unclassified non-coding RNA is filed under the name soil metagenome. RNAcentral's name for it is "partial contains 5.8S ribosomal RNA, internal transcribed spacer 2, and large subunit ribosomal RNA". The stretch from base 1 to 120 matches the Rfam family "5.8S ribosomal RNA", at positions 35 to 154 of the family's 154-position model. The record is from RNAcentral.
GAUGAAGAACGCAGCGAAUUGCGAUAUGUAAUGUGAAUUGCAGAAUUCAGUGAAUCAUCGAAUCUUUGAACGCACAUUGCGCCCGCCAGUAUUCUGGCGGGCAUGCCUGUUCGAGCGUCAUUACAACCCUCAAGCCCCCCGGCUUGGUGUUGGGGACCGGCCACCGGUGCCCUGCUGCUUCCGCGGCAGGCGCGCCCGGCCGCCCCCGAAAUGAAUUGGCGGCCCCGUCGCGGCCUCCCUCUGCGUAGUAGCACACAUCUCGCAGCUGGAGCGCGGCGCGGCCACUGCCGUAAAACGCACCAACUUUUUUUUACAGUUGACCUCGAAUCAGGUAGGAAUACCCGCUGAACUUAAGCAUAUCAAUAAGCGGAGGA